This 54-nucleotide small nucleolar RNA is filed under the name Catagonus wagneri (Chacoan peccary). RNAcentral describes it as "Small nucleolar RNA SNORD66 (ENSCWAG00000001511.1)". It matches the Rfam family "Small nucleolar RNA SNORD66". Rfam says of the family: snoRNA HBII-142 is part of the C/D family of snoRNAs. It is the human orthologue of the mouse MBII-142 snoRNA and is predicted to guide 2'O-ribose methylation of small 18S rRNA at residue C1272. Lineage: Eukaryota; Metazoa; Chordata; Mammalia; Artiodactyla; Tayassuidae. The record is from Rfam by way of RNAcentral.
UUCCUGUGAUGAUUAAUUUUAUGUGUCAACUUGACUGGGCCAUGGAGUGUGGAG